This 492-nucleotide ribosomal RNA is filed under the name uncultured bacterium. Its description in RNAcentral is "partial 16S ribosomal RNA". It matches the Rfam family "Bacterial small subunit ribosomal RNA", at positions 29 to 507 of the family's 1533-position model. The record is from RNAcentral.
AAUGAACGCUGGCGGUAUGCCUAACACAUGCAAGUCGAACGGCAGCACCGUAAGAGCUUGCUCUUACGGGUGGCGAGUGGCGGACGGGUGAGGAAUACAUCGGAAUCUACUUUUUCGUGGGGGAUAACGUAGGGAAACUUACGCUAAUACCGCAUACGACCUACGUGUGAAGGCAGGGGAUCUUCGGACCUUGCGGGAUUGUAUGAGCCGAUGUCGGAUUCGCUAGAUGGCGGGGUAAAGGCGCAGCACGGCGACGAUCCGUAGCUGGUCUGAGAGGAAGAACAGACACACUGGAACUGAGACACGGUCCAGACUCCUACGGGAGGCAGCAGUGGGGAAUAUUGGACAAGGGGGGAAAGCCUGAUCCAGCCAUACCGCGUGGGGGAAGAAGGCCUUCGGGUUGUAAAGCCCUGUAGUUGGGAAAGAAAAGCAGCAGGUUAAUACCCCGCGGUUCUGACGGUACCCAAAGAAUAAGCACCGGCUAACUUCGUG